Molecule: long non-coding RNA, 251 nt
Filed under: Mytilus galloprovincialis (Mediterranean mussel)
Lineage: Eukaryota; Metazoa; Mollusca; Bivalvia; Mytilida; Mytilidae
Source: RNAcentral
UCUUAUAGUUGUCUGUUUUUCCUUGGUGUUGUCUGUUUUUUUUUGGUGUUGUUUGUUUUUCCUUGGUGUUGUCUGUUUUAUUUUGGUGUUGUCUGUUUUGUCUUGCUGUUGUCCGUUUUGUCUUGGUGUUGUUCGUUUUGUCUUACUGUUGUCCGUUUUGUCUUGCUGUUGUCUGUUUUGUCUUAUAGUUGUUUGUUUUUCCUUGGUGUUGUCUGUUUUUUCUUGGUGUUGUAUGUUUUAUUUUGGUGUUG